This 583-nucleotide ribosomal RNA is filed under the name uncultured Flavobacteriaceae bacterium. Its description in RNAcentral is "bacterial SSU rRNA". It matches the Rfam family "Bacterial small subunit ribosomal RNA", at positions 338 to 916 of the family's 1533-position model. The record is from RNAcentral. Lineage: Bacteria; Pseudomonadati; Bacteroidota; Flavobacteriia; Flavobacteriales; Flavobacteriaceae.
CCUACGGGAGGCAGCAGUGAGGAAUAUUGGACAAUGGACGAAAGUCUGAUCCAGCUAUGCCGCGCGCAGGAUGACGGCCCUAUGGGUUGUAAACUGCUUUUAUACAGGAAGAAAAAAUCCGACGUGUCGGAACUUGACGGUACUGUAAGAAUAAGGAUCGGCUAACUCCGUGCCAGCAGCCGCGGUAAUACGGAGGAUCCAAGCGUUAUCCGGAAUCAUUGGGUUUAAAGGGUCCGUAGGCGGUUUUUUAAGUCAGAGGUGAAAUCCUGCAGCUCAACUGUAGAAUUGCCUUUGAUACUGAAAGACUUGAGUUAUUGUGAAGUGGUUAGAAUGUGUGGUGUAGCGGUGAAAUGCAUAGAUAUCACACAGAAUACCAAUUGCGAAGGCAGAUCACUAACAAUAUACUGACGCUCAGGGACGAAAGCGUGGGUAGCGAACAGGAUUAGAUACCCUGGUAGUCCACGCCGUAAACGAUGGAUACUAGCUGUAUGUCUACUUCAGGUAGAUGUGUGGCUAAGCGAAAGUGAUAAGUAUCCCACCUGGGGAGUACGAUCGCAAGAUUGAAACUCAAAGGAAUUGACGG